This 583-nucleotide ribosomal RNA is filed under the name Lactococcus lactis. RNAcentral describes it as "bacterial SSU rRNA". It matches the Rfam family "Bacterial small subunit ribosomal RNA", at positions 63 to 629 of the family's 1533-position model. The record is from RNAcentral. Lineage: Bacteria; Bacillati; Bacillota; Bacilli; Lactobacillales; Streptococcaceae.
UGAGCGCUGAAGGUUGGUACUUGUACCGACUGGAUGAGCAGCGAACGGGUGAGUAACGCGUGGGGAAUCUGCCUUUGAGCGGGGGACAACAUUUGGAAACGAAUGCUAAUACCGCAUAAAAACUUUAAACACAAGUUUUAAGUUUGAAAGAUGCAAUUGCAUCACUCAAAGAUGAUCCCGCGUUGUAUUAGCUAGUUGGUGAGGUAAAGGCUCACCAAGGCGAUGAUACAUAGCCGACCUGAGAGGGUGAUCGGCCACAUUGGGACUGAGACACGGCCCAAACUCCUACGGGAGGCAGCAGUAGGGAAUCUUCGGCAAUGGACGAAAGUCUGACCGAGCAACGCCGCGUGAGUGAAGAAGGUUUUCGGAUCGUAAAACUCUGUUGGUAGAGAAGAACGUUGGUGAGAGUGGAAAGCUCAUCAAGUGACGGUAACUACCCAGAAAGGGACGGCUAACUACGUGCCAGCAGCCGCGGUAAUACGUAGGUCCCGAGCGUUGUCCGGAUUUAUUGGGCGUAAAGCGAGCGCAGGUGGUUUAUUAAGUCUGGUGUAAAAGGCAGUGGCUCAACCAUUGUAUGCAUUGG